GUUUAAAUACGGUUUCAUUAAAAUCCGUUAUUUAACAUUGUAAUUUUGGUUUACAGAAUUUGUAAGCUGUCAUAUAAAUAUCACUGUGUGAUAUACCAGUAUGUACGUUUGAAUUGGUUUGUGCCACAACAGUAACUACCUUGCUCCACAAGUUGGUAAGGAUUAGUAAUAUGUUAUUAGAAUUAUAAUGUAUUUCGUUUAAAAGGUUGAAUUAACUAUGGAGUAUGUUAAGCACAUAGUUUUGAUAAAGAGUUAUUUCCCUUGAGUUUAGAUGCUUUUAAUAUUUGUUUAAUUUAUCAAUGUUGUUAAUCUGAACAACUGAAUAUUAUAUGUAAAGACAUUAAUACUAUGAUUUGAUGAUUAAACAUAAUAUUUGAUCUCAUUAUGUUCAUAACUUAAAUGUAUUUUUAAAGUGUAAUGUUUUGUAUAAUACCAUUAUAUGUAAUGAAAGAAUAUUAUACUUAUCACGUGUAUUACUAAUUUAUUAUUUGAUCUGUAAAAUUAGUAUAACUUUAUCAUUGUUAUUACAGGGUGUUUUACGUUACUGAUUAAUAAAUAUCCUGAACCCUAGCAAAGCGACUUUAGUUUUCCUUGAGGCCUAAAAGUCAGCUAUUACAUUUGGCGCCCACUACCGGUUUUGAUGGCACAGAUCACCCCUAGGAGCAAUCUGAUGAGUUUACCUACGAUGUCAAUAGUUACCACGUGUUACCGGAAGUAUGGUUUGUUGUGAUCACAUGAGAUGUCCACCACGUGUUGUUUAUCAACAAAAGAACUACAUGUGC
RNAcentral lists this long non-coding RNA (782 nucleotides) under Mytilus galloprovincialis (Mediterranean mussel). Lineage: Eukaryota; Metazoa; Mollusca; Bivalvia; Mytilida; Mytilidae. The record is from RNAcentral.